UACGGAAGGCAGCAGUGGGGAAUAUUGCACAAUGGGCGCAAGCCUGAUGCAGCCAUGCCGCGUGUAUGAAGAAGGCCUUCGGGUUGUAAAGUACUUUCAGUCGUGAGGAAGGUGUUAAGGUUAAUAACCGUUAGCAAUUGACGUUAGCGACAGAAGAAGCACCGGCUAACUCCGUGCCAGCAGCCGCGGUAAUACGGAGGGUGCGAGCGUUAAUCGGAAUUACUGGGCGUAAAGGGCACGCAGGCGGUUAAUUAAGUUGGAUGUGAAAUCCCCGGGCUUAACCUGGGAAUGGCAUUCAAGACUGGUUAGCUAGAGUCUUGUAGAGGGGGUAGAAUUCCAUGUGUAGCGGUGAAAUGCGUAGAGAUGUGGAGGAAUACCGGUGGCGAAGGCGGCCCCUGGACAAAGGACUGACGCUCAUGUGCGAAAGCGUGGGGAGCAAACAGGGAUUAGAUACC
RNAcentral lists this ribosomal RNA (455 nucleotides) under uncultured bacterium. RNAcentral's name for it is "bacterial SSU rRNA". It matches the Rfam family "Bacterial small subunit ribosomal RNA", at positions 340 to 786 of the family's 1533-position model. The record is from RNAcentral.